Long non-coding RNA from Loxodonta africana (African savanna elephant), 9157 nucleotides. RefSeq lists it as uncharacterized. The record is from RefSeq and is a predicted model, not a curated record. Lineage: Eukaryota; Metazoa; Chordata; Mammalia; Proboscidea; Elephantidae. The transcript is spliced from 7 exons.
ACGGCACGGGACUGGGCAAUGUUUGUUCCAUUGUGCGUAGGGUCACCAUGAGUCAGGGGCUGACUUGAUGGCAGCUCACUCUGUGACAACAUGGGGCAGGUAAGAACUGCCAGUUGCAGCUGUUACUACAAGAACUUUGCCAAAUCCAACACGAUGUGCAGUUGUCAGUUGAGCCAAAUAUUUAGUGAGCCUCUACAGAGCGCCACAUGUGGGUGGGAGUCUGGCUGGAGGUGAGGCGGAGCACAAUGACUCAUCUGGGGAGAAUGUCCAAGGCCGUUCUCUGUCCGCCCAGAAACAAAUAGGCCCCUGUCCAUCCUAACCGGGCCUGGUGCAUAGCUAUCCUGGCCAGCCAGUGCUUACUGUACACCUACUGUGUGCCAUACGGCUUGGUGGAGUCUGAGCACUGCUCAGGAGUUCUCCUUGGCUGCAGUUUUGGCCCUCAUAUCUCCAAGGCUUGCAGAAAACCCAGCUGGAACUUUCGAAGAAGGAGAAAGAACUGAUACUUGGGGAGCGACUACUGUGUGCCCGGCCUCGUGGGAGAUGCAUACAUAGGCUGUUCCGCUGAACCCUCACGCCAUCCCCAGGCAUCAGCAUGGUCCCAUCUGAUAGAUGAGAAGAUGGAGGCCCAGAGACGGCAGUAAACAGGUCCAAGGUCGCAGGCCAGCCGGAGAGAAAUCAGCUCAUGCCUGUUGACUUGCGAAGUCCUGGCACUUCAUGUUUCCACCUUGUUUCAGGCAUCCUACAACGACUGUAUAAGAUGAGGAAACUUAGACAGAGUUGAGAAAUUGAUGACUGAGGUCACACAACUAAUAAAACGGAUCUGAGAUUGAUGAAGACCCCUUGGAACUGGAAAUCUUUCCCAUACAAGACUCAAGCCAGGCUUCUGGUUAAAAGGCCAGAACAAAUGACACCGAAAAAUAUUAAAUGAUGUAACUGAAGAAAGCUCUACUGAAAUAAGUAAAGGGCUAAUCAGAGGCACAUCAUGUCCUAGAAAAAUGCAGUGGAGAGAGAGCGACAUCAAUGCAUAGCCUUCUAGAAAGACUGAAUUUCAAAGGGGCCUGGAGUGUUGGAUGUACCAUUCCUCUUUGGAAAUCGCCCUUGGCCAAAUGAAGCUGCCUUGCCUGAGGUUACACACCCUCUCUAGGACCACCUGCAUCCAAUGUCUGGUUGAUGCUGGAAUACAAAGGUUCAGCCCCUUUGUCUGGACUGGAGACAUCCCUGAAGCUCCAUCCUAGCUUCAGAACUUGCCGUGGAAUCAGCUGUAGCUCCCCUUGUAACUGAAUCCCAGUUCACAUUUCCCCACUGCACAAGCUUGCUUUCCUCAACUCACUCUCUACCCCAACAUGUUCUUGAAAGCACAGCUCCCCAAACCUUCUACGUGCAACUCCAAGCCUCACAGGCUAUUUCCAGAGAACUGGACUGCUGCAGACUUUUAGGUCUGGGACUCUUGUUUCAUUUCUCUCUCUCUUCAAGUACAAGGUCCCUGCUCCGUGACCGGGGCCCUGCUCACUGCCCUUAGACUCCCCAAGGCUGCUGCUGGGAUGCUGUGUCUGCCUCCUGCCACCCCCUUCCCUUGCCUUGUUCCCUCAACCAACCUCUGCUGCUUCACGAGGGGUCCUGGGCUCCAGUCUCUCCUUCCAGGCCCGGCUAGCUAUGGAAUACGUCCUGGUCUUUCAGGGAGAGCAAGAGAGAAGACAUUGACCUGCUGGUGGAGAGCACACGGGGAAGAGGCUGACGUCCGAAUGUAUGAAGCCUGCCUCCUCUGUUGUUUGGGAUCACCUAGGAAACACUGCUUUGAGGAUGUCAAGACAGAGACAGGGCAGGCACCAGAGCCACUUCCCGUUCUAAUGACAUGUGAACAGAUGGGCGGGUCACCCCGGAGGACUUCUCUCUGGGUUACUUCGCUUCUCCCAUAGGCACCCAGAGUCCACUCUGAGUAGCAGAGUUAGGGGCUGCGAAUGCCAGGCCAUAGUUAAAUAUGUUUUUUCUAACGUUUGGGUUUGGCAAAGCCCUAAGUGUGGUUUUUUUUUUCCUAUUUCCAAGCCUCCUAUGUUUCAAGAGAACUUUAAUUCUCAUAUUUGUACUCAUUUGCAUGGAACUCAUCAAAGUGCUAUUUUUUGAGAUAGGUUUGAUGUCCGAGCAGUCAUUAUAUGCUAUUUUUUUCCUUUUUUCUCUUUGAUCUGAUGAUUUAUGCCUUGCUGAUGCUGAAAGGGUUGCAAGUGCUUUCCUGAAGAAGUUCAGAGUCUUUACCAAAUGCAAACUGCCCAACGUCCUGGUGAGAUUUCAGACUUGGCACAGCAGAUUGUCUCUGAGGCCUAAUAAUUUCCAUGCUUGCGAGAUAGAAGAGCAUUUGGAAGAAAAUAACUUUUUUUUUUUUUUUGGUAGCCUUAAGAAUCUGCAUCAUGAAAAGAGAGCAAAGGCAACACAUUAUCUCCCCAGCUUGUGGCUUUGCCGCAAAGGCCUCUGGGAAGCUCCGUUAUACGUGCCUUGUUGCUCUCGCUGACCACAUCCUGCAGCUCAGCGGGCCGAGCGAGACCCAAGGCAGCUGGUGGCAGGCACAGUGGCAAGUUUGCUUCUCUCUGGAACACACCAGUCUGCCUUAGCCCCCAGCAGAGGACCGGUGAGGGGCAGCCGUGGCCGUUCCCAGGCUGACCUGAAGGGGGAGGAAUUUGCAGAGUGCUUUCUCCAUGUGGGGGCACUCACAUCUCCUCUCUCAUUUGAGCCUCCCAGAAGUGUUGUGACAGGGACAUUGUUGUCCCAUUUUACAGAUGGAGAAGCCAAGAGAUUGCAAAAGCCUCGCUGAUGACUCUACAGCUCCCUUACUUUCUCCUUCAUGUGUCCAGGGGGACAGUGGUGGCUCAGAGGUAGGAUUCUCUCCUUCCAUGUGGGAGACUCAGGUUGGAUUCCUGGACAAUGUGCCUCAUGUACAGCCACCACCCAUCCGUCAGAGGGGACUUGAGUGUUGCUACGAUGCUGAAUAGCUGUCAGUAGAGCUUCCAGACUAAGACAGACUAGGAAGAAAGGCUUGGCAAUCUACUUCUGAAAAUCAGCUAAUGAAAACCCUAUGGAAUAAAACAGUCCCAUCCGUACCUGAUCUUGGGGAUGGCGCAGGAUUGGGCACUGUUUCCUUCUGUUGUGCUUGAGGUGGCUGUGACUCAGGGGCUGACCUGACAGCAGCUAACAACGACAAUAACAACAAACCCAAAGUCCAAAUAACCCAACAAUUGCUGCCUAGCACCUCAGAAUGUUGAGAAUGUACUGAAGGGAAAUGGAUUGCCUGUGAAGCGGGUCCCAGGCCUGGGACCCGUCCUCACGUGGUUUCCUGACCGCUGUGCCGCAAACAUGUGAUGCUUUGUCCAGGGCAAAAUGCCUUGAACGUGGGCCCAGCUCUUGGCCGGGCAGAGUGGACCUGGGCGUGCCACUGAGAGCCUGAAUCUCUGCCAGUGAGUUUGGGUUGCUGGGAGGGCUGGUGAGAAGAAGGCUGGGGUGUGUUCAGCAUGGUGCCGGCUACGAAAGACAGGGGGCCGAACGUUGUUAUCUUGGGGCCUGGGAGUGCAACUUUCUUUCCUUCUUCCCUGCCAUGGUGGGCUUCGCGUAAGCUAGGGGCUUUCACUCCAACCAUGUGGAGAGGUGGAAAUUGGUAGAUGGGGGCAUUUCACAUGGCCUUGGAGCCCUGGUGGUGCAGUGGUUAGGAAUGUGGCUGCUAACCAAAAGGUUGACAGUUUGAAUCCACCAGCCACUCCUGGGAAACACUAUGGGGCAGUUCUACUCUAUGAAUCAGCAUCGCCUGGACAGUUACGGGUUUGAUUCCCCUGGGAGGGGAACCGUGGCCCCUCUGCACGAGUGCUCGUGAGAAGAGGAGCUGGGCAGGGCUGAGAUAAGUCACUUCUACAGCCUUGUCACCGUGUGUGUGUGUGUGUGUGUGCACCCACAGAAGAAAGCUGGAGUUAAAACAUGAAUAGAAACUUCUGUUGGGUUGGCAAGACCUAGUGGCUGCUUCUCAACAUGGACCUUGAUUAUUUCUUCUUUCAUCUCUUCCUUCCUCCCUUCCCUCUUUUCUUGCCUUUAGCAACUAGCUCCUGUGCAAUCCACACAUUUCCCAUGUGACACACCUGCCUUAUAUUCAGCCCUGCUGGAAAACAUCACCUGGUUAGCGAGGGAUGCAGCUCACUUGGCUGAGAACCCGAGAGGCUGUCUAGGCCAGCCCCUCAGGUUAGCAACGAGGAAACUGAGGCACACAUAGGGAAGGGGAUUGCCAAGCACCUCAUAGUUUAUUAGCUGCAGAGGUGGGAUCUGGACCCAGAAUUCCUUUCAUAGCACUUUUGGGAAAUUUGGAAAAAAGCACAAAGAAAAAGAUUGUAGUGAACUUUUAUUCCCAACACCCAGAAUUAGCCAUUUACCUUUUAUUAUUAUUAUUAAUAUUAUUUUUUUCUUGAACCAUUUCUGCAUGCAAUAUGUGAGUGCACUACUCACCAGAGAAAUGACUAGAACCCUACAGGGAAACCUAGAGUUGCCUCCUGUGACCACCAUUCCAUCCUGAUCCAUGAUGCUUUCCCCAGAAGUGACCAUUAUGAUGAGUUUGAUGUACUUCUUUCCAGGUGACUUGUACAUUGGCACACACACACAUACACACACACAGGGUAUUACUAUUUUGUGUUUAAACACCUAUUGACAUAAAUGGUAUCCCAUUACUCAAGGUCAUUUGCAAUUGGUUUUAUUUUUUCCUGAUGGUUAGUUUUGGAGAUCUGUCCACGUUGGUGGACACAGAGCCUGUUUGUCCUCCUGUGGCUGAGUGGAUUCCAUGCAUUAACCCACCGCUUUUUAGUUAUCCGCACACCCAGGAGCUUACCUUCAAGUGGCCACGGCUUGCCUUUCAAUGAGCAUCUGAAUAACAAACCAGGAAACCAGAAAGGCCUCUGUGGCCUGUUUCUGCCCAUACCCUGAAAUUAUGGAGGGCCCCUGGGUGAACCACUUCAUGCAUCCAUGCCUCAGUUUCCUUGUCUGUUGAAGACAACUUGCCAAAGAACCCUGUGGAUAACUACAAAGUCCCACCACAGCGCCGGAUGCUACCACCUCUAAGGGCAUAAGGACAAAAGCUGUUGCUCCUAUCAUGGGGUAUGUCUGGAAUAGCCCUCACCCCCAAUGCUUGAAUUGCUCUUUUUGUGUGAGUGACUUUUGUCAUGGGAAUGCUGGGCUCUCAGUCAUAUCUCACGAUAUGGGGGACCAGCAAUAGGGGAGUGGAGAAGAGGCCUCCUCCCGAGAGGUGGGGCCAUUUCUAGUGUCUGUCACCCUGGAAACAACCUUGGGUGGUGGUCAUGAAGAGGCUGAGGUAUUUCUAUGGCAGCCCCCAAAUGGCUGGUCCUUCCACAAGGGAACAGUCUCAAGUAGGGAGGUGAUAUUUCUAAGAUCCGAAAGCUCUAGAAAGCCCUGAGGCCAAACCCAAGGCUUGGCCUGCUGCCCUGGGCUCUUCCCCUUCUGCCCAUUAGGUAAGAAGACUGCCUGGAGAAGCUCCGGCUUGACUCAGUAGCAUGGACUGCUGCAGGUGGAAUCUCAGGCGUCGUAAUGGUCUAGCAGCAGGCGACGUCUCAGGGAACUCUGCUGGGGUCGCUGCAAAAGCAUCCCUAUGCGAGGGGACCCGUGAGUUGGGCUUUGAAGUAUGAGUAGGAGUUUGCCAGUUGAGAUAAGAAAGAGGUCAUUCCAGGUAGAAGGAGUACGUGGUCAAGAUGUGCAGGUAUAAAAAAUCUGGGAAGGAUUUGGGGGUGGGGAAUAGUUUAAUGUGUAGGGAAGACGGGGAGAGUGGGGAAAUUAGGAGGCUGAAAAGAUGGACUAGCAUCUGACUAUAUCCUGGACGCUACAAGGAGGAGCCGUUGGAGAACUCAGAGCAAGGAAGAGACAUAGUGAGAUUUGUGGCUCAGGAAGAUCGCUGGGCAGCCUUGGGGUGGAGGGAGCCUGACUGGAGACAGAGGGGCCAGUGGAGGAGGUAGCUGCAGUAAUACCAGCACAGAGGAUGGAAGACAUGUGACAGGCCAUUACAUGGGGGGUGGGAGGGAAAGGAAAGGACUGACCAUUUAUCAACCAUGUUUUACAUGCAUUACCUUGUUAAUCUUCACACUAACCCUGUGAAAUCAACCCCAUUUUACAGAUGAGAAAACAGUCUCACAAAAGUGAACUAACUCUUGCAAGGCCCCACAAGCCCUACAGCCUGCAUGACUCCAGUGUGAGGUCUGUCUUCCCUACUUCCUGGCUGAGGUGGGGAAACUGGGCAGGAAUCCCAGAAGACUAGGGUUUCAGCUUUGGGGACCUGAGCAGAUAGUGAUAUUGGCAGACAUUAUUACUGCCUACCAAUAACCAUUAUAAGGACUAAGGUGUGCCUGAUCCAAGCCAUGGUGUUUUCAAUCACCUCAUAUGCAUGCUAAAGCUGGCCAAUGAAUAAGGAAGACCAAAGAAGAAUUGAAUAUGCAGUGGACUACCAGACGAAUGAACAAGUCUGUCUUGGAAGAAGUACAGCCAGAGUGUUCCUUAGAAACAAGGAUAGCGAGACAUCGUCUCAUAUACUUUGGACGUGUUAUCUGGAGGGACCAGUCCCUGGAGAAAGACAUCAUGCUUGGUAAAGUGGAGGGUCAGAAGGAAAGAGGAAGACCCUCGAUGAGAUGGACUGACACAGUGGCUGCAACAAUGGGCUCAAGCAUACCAGUGAUCGCGAGGAUGGUGCAGGACCGGGCAGUGUUUCCUUCCGUUGUACACAGGUUUGCUACGUGUUGGAACCAACUUGAAGACACCUAACAACAACAACCAAUAUCCAGUUCUCCUCUCCAGUGGUUGGAUGUGGCCAUGUGACUAGCUCUGCCCAAUGGGUUGUGAGUAAAACUGAUGUAUGUCACUUCUAGGGGCCUUGGUGACACAAUAGUUAAGCGUUCAGCCUCUAAUCAAAAGGUGGUGUUUCAAACCCACCAGUUGCUCCCAGGGAGAAGGAUGUGGCAGUCUGCUUCCGGAAAGAUUAUAGCCUUGGGAACCUUAUGGAGCAGUUCUGCUCUGUCCUACACGGUUGAUAUGAGUUGGCAUCGACUGGACAACAGUGGGGUGUCACUUCUGGGCUAAGGUUUUUAAUUAAUAGCUGGUGUGAGAUCCGACAGCUGUGCUCUUCUCCUGCUUUGCUGACCAGGGAAACCCAUGAUGAGAUGCAGACUCCAUCAGUUGGACACUUGAAGGAUUGUGAUGAGCAGAACCCACUUGCCUACCUGUGUUCCACGGAAUGUAAGUGAAAAGUGAACUCCUCCUGUUUGAAGCCACAGAUACCUAGAGUUGUUACUGUGGCACAACCUAGGCUAUACUACUUGACAUGGUGAUGCCAUUCCUGGAGUGAGGGCGUAAAGGAGAAGGAGCAGACCGAGAGCAAGGGUGGGGAGGCUGAGGUGGGGCAGAAUAUUCUAGUAAAAGGGAAAACAGGCUUUGUAGACUAGCAGACUUGGGUCCAGUGUUCCCUCAACUGGUCACUGCUGAGUGGCCAUUGGGCCACUGGAGUGACUUAAGACAAAGCUCAUAGAGUGUCAACUGUUGUGGCCAGCUCCUUGGAAGCCCCCAGCAAACUGUGGUCGCCAUUCUCAGAAGAGGGUCAAAGGAGACUUGGAGAUUUAAGCUUCGUGAGCUUAGACAUCUUCCUGUCAUGGUCAUCUGCAUUUCCUCAGUGCUGAGAACGGUGCCUGGAGACAGCACGCAUUUGUUAUCUAUUCACCUGAUAAAGAGGGUAACAUUCACUGCAUUUAUUCGCUUUAUGUGGCCCUUUGGUCUCUCAACCAGACUAGGGACUCUUUGAUAGGUGGGACCUAGACAUAUUAAUUCACCUCUGUUUUCUCAAUGCCCAGUAAAUAUCAGUUCUCAGGGAAUUUUCCUUGAUGGAGUGAGUCAUCCUGGGCUUUAGAAAUAGCCAGGUCUGUGGGCCAUUCUCCUUGGCUCAUUGAUGCCAAGCCCAGGCUUGGAUUUCUAGGUGAUCUUCCCCACCCCAGCCCCCAGGUCCUGACCUCUACCCAGCUAGCAGGUCUCUGCCUGACAUCUGUGGUCCUUUCAGGGACCCCUCAGGCUCUGAGUCCAGGUGGCUCACAAGGUCAUCACACAGCAGCUGUGGCGUCCACCUGUCCUGACCGUGUCUGGCAGCAUCCCGGAUGGCCCCACACCUCCCCGUACUCAGACACAGCCUGCAGAUGGCCUGGCGCAGACCUUGGCAGGAGUGGCUGGCAGGCGGGUCCUCUCCUUCCCAGGUAAACCUAUAUGUAGCAAGUCUGUUUAUCAGGCAACGCCUUGUUGUAGCCAGAGGUGGUGGCUUAGCAGUGGCAGCAACGCCCGCAUUGCAUCACAGGCUGCCAGUUACUGAGAUGUGCCCUUGGCCUUGGUGGGCAGAUAAGCACCUGCAUGGGAGAGGGAGCCCUUGAUCAGGGCUGAUAAGCUUAGGAAGGAAAAAAAAAAACCAAAACAAAACACACACACCAGAAGCCGAGCGACUCGCUGUCGGAGGCUUUUCAUGUACACAUGGGCGUGUUGCUUGUCUUCGCCAACGCACGGGUGAUGCGAAAAGUGUGAUUUAAUUUAAUUUCGUGGUCACGCAUUCAGGGAACCAGAGCAUGUCGGAGCUGGAAGGGACUUUGGAGAGUGUCUCGUUGAACACUUAAUCCUCCAGACGAGGACACCGAGGGCCACAGAGCUGUAAAGACUUGUUUAGGAUCAUCUAGCAGCGAAGUUUUGGCAGAGCUGGAACUAUACUCUGGGUCUCUAGACCCCCAGGCCUCUGAUCUUCCCACCACACUGGGUGGCUUCACAGGCCGCUGCUUGAUACUGCAGAUUGCAAGUUGGCACCUCAACAUUCCUCUUUAAUGUCAGAAAUCUGGGUGUUCUGCUUCAAGAGUCAGACACAGCCACCCUCCCCCACUCCCACCAUGGAUGGGGUCGACCAGUUAGCUCAAGGCAACAAGCCUGGUGAGUGAUGCUUCAGACCCCAGCUAUCCCAAACCCUGCCAUUUUACAUCUUAAAAAAGUGAGGUCCAGGUCACCAGAAAGGCUACUUCCCUUAGGCGGUACAACUAGAGAAAGUGAGAGAACUGGGCCUAAAAUUCCCAAUUUCCUGCCUUCAGUCUUGUCCACUAAUUAAAAAAAAAAAAAAAAAAUC